GCCUGUGGUACAUAUAUUUAACGAGAGUAGCCUCCCCUCCAUUAGCCCAUGUGCUUAGGAGAGUGGAUAAUUAAAAUUGCAGGUGGCGAAGUAUCAAUUUUAUUUACUUAAAUCCUGUCACAGAGGCUGUUCUCUUCAUGUCAGAGAUGCCCUCCUGGCUUGGAAUUGCUGUGUUCGUUGACGACUCGCAUGUCUCCUGGCUAUCCGCUCGAUGCUCUUCAAGUGGCAUAUGACCGAUGUUUUGUCACGUACCCCAGCUCCCACAGCUGUACAUCUUUGAAUGACCGAACUUGAAAACCCACUGUUCAGCAUAUGCACGGCACUGUGUAUGCGGCUGGUGAAAUUUCUAUGAUAUUUUGCUCUGGGAUGACUGUAAUCCGGACACGGCACGGGAAUCGCCAUCAGUCGUGAAGAAUCCAAUCGUGAGUGGAGAGACGUCUGAUGAGAAGUCACUUGAACACUGAGCUGCAGAAUGUUCUUCGUCUCCUAUUGUGUCGUCAAGCCGGAGAUUUGCUGUACAGGAACUCGCCUGCCUGUGUACCACCUCCAGUUGAGAUCCGUGUUGGUCGGAGAAGUCUAAUGUCACUGGGAAUUCCAUCCGCAUCCUUGACGAUGUAUGACUGUCUAUCACAAUGGUGUACCACAGCGUUGAACUCUUCUUGACUAAGUCUCUUGGUAACUGGUAUGUUGUCACCUUCAGGCUUAAGACACUUUGUUUUAGUAACACCUAUAGUUCUUUUGAACAGACAUUGGUGUCCCUUUUGAAAGGCACCCUUGUUGUGCAGGUUUUCUGUUGGAUUUUUCUUUGGCUUCAUUGUUAGCACACUGGGUGUGGUAUAUUCUCUUAGUAUAAGGAAAAGUUGUGAACUUUUGUAUCUCUUAGCAUGUAGCAGUCUUCAGCGGAAUGGAACCUGUGGUGUGUGUUAUGUUAAUAAAUACUCUCAUGCAGUAAACUGAUGCGUGUUCUGUUUUG
Molecule: long non-coding RNA, 973 nt
Filed under: Gigantopelta aegis
Lineage: Eukaryota; Metazoa; Mollusca; Gastropoda; Neomphalida; Peltospiridae
Description: uncharacterized LOC121387386, transcript variant X2
Source: RNAcentral